CAUUGAGCCAAGAUUGUGCCACUGCACUCCAGCCUGGAUAAUAGAGUGAAAAUGUGUGGCGGGGAGCGGGGGCGGGGAGGCAACCCACACCUUGGGAACACUGAGCUGCUCUUUAUGAUGAUAUCCAAUUACCCUGAAGCUGCAUGUUGGAAAGGUCAUGUGGAGAUAUCAUGUAGAGGGAGAGAGAGGCCCAAUGAACCCCAGCUAUUUUAGCUCUCAUUUUUGCAUCUUCCCAGUGAACUGACAGACAAAGGCUGGGAGCUGGAAACUUCUGAAGGCUCAUUCACUUGCAUGUCUGUCAUGAAGCUUCAGGGCAGCUCCAGCUGAUGCCAGGGACUUCUGGAGUCCAUUACAGAGCUACUCAACCCACGGCAGUAAUCCUCCCUCUGAGAAUACUACUGUAAUCCUCAAGUGCAGAGUAGAGACUACUGUGCGAAAGAACUCGGGAAAGCAGCAGGCAGUCUGGAAUGGCAAUGGGAAGAUCCAAAGGCAGCAAAGGCUUCUCUCCGCCAUGUGAAAGGCCUGAGUUUAGAUACUUCAGGGAAGUUUUAAUGCCAACCUUCUGUAAAAUCCCCAUUCUCUAAUGUAUGGCUUUAAUUAACAAUCAUGUAUCAAUAUUUGUUAAUCAUAACAAAUGUACCAUACUCCUGUGAGAUGUUAUCAACAGGAAAAAUUGAAGGAGAGGUGCAUGGAGCUCUGUACUAUCCUUGCAAUUUUUCUGUAAAUCUAAAACUGUUGUAAAAAAUAAAGUCAGGGGAGGAGCAAAAAGAAAAAACGUUUAUUUUUUAUUGAAAAGAAAAACCCUCAUUCUCCACAGCCACAUCCAUAUUUCAGAAUUGUUCUUAGAAACUUCCAGAAACAAUUCAUUUACUGUAUAUAACAUUAUGGCCUAGAUUAAACUGAUCAGUAAUUAUUAAUGCUUAACGUUAGUGCGGAAGCUCAAAAAUUAUAUACUAGAGUGUUUGUGUAACUCUAAAUCUUAAGAUACAUGUCAGUGAUACCCGAAGCUUCUUUUUUUUUUUAUUUUAUAGAGAAAACAUAAUUGACAAAAUGGUCACAUACUUUUUAAACUUUGUUUUCGACAUCUUUGGGAAUUGUAACCAUUGAACCCCAUGUUCCUGAUUCAAGCUCCUCUGUGCAUCUCUUAAGAGUUGUUGAAUUGAAGUCAUAAUGCCUGGGAUGGAAGAAAAGGCUUCCAAGGGGCUGAUCUCACAAAUCAGCGGAUAGGCUGACCAGUUACUCUGUUUGUUCUCAGGCAUGUGAAAGCGUUCUCUGGUCCUAAACAUCCUGUUCUAGUUGUGCCCCAUUUGUUGAGGGGUUGAGGGUGGCAUUGAUGCAGUCUCCAUGCUUUAACUAGGCUGCUAUUACCUAUUACCUGCCUGCCUCAGCUUCCAACUACCACCCAGGUUAAGAGGGCAUGUCUGAUGAAGAAACCACCUCCCUUAGUCAAGAUGAUUCAACUUCAUUCUACUCUCAUCCCCUUUCUCCAGGUGGAAAUCUGAGGGUCUGAGGAGGAGACAGAGAGAGAAAGGGGACGCAAAAAGGCUCAAUUCUCAGGCUUCUGUCCCAACAACAUCAGUAUUAUCUUCAUAA
RNAcentral lists this long non-coding RNA (1593 nucleotides) under Homo sapiens (human). RNAcentral's name for it is "HSALNT0296887". Lineage: Eukaryota; Metazoa; Chordata; Mammalia; Primates; Hominidae. The record is from RNAcentral.